CAUUAAGAAGCUAUGAAACAGCACUAGCCUUUUAAGCUAGAGAAAGGGGGACAUGCCCCCCCCUUAAUGA
This 70-nucleotide transfer RNA is filed under the name Dryoscopus gambensis. RNAcentral's name for it is "tRNA-Lys". The record is from RNAcentral. Lineage: Eukaryota; Metazoa; Chordata; Aves; Passeriformes; Malaconotidae.